CCACCCUCCCGCCCCCCCCCCGCUUAAAUAUAACAGCCCUUAAAGAUACCCUACAUCCUUCAAGUGUUGGGUUAGUAUUUUUUUUUUCUUUUGUGGUUUAAGUUGUUUAGUGGUGUUUUUUUUAAUUGUUUCGUUUAUUAAUAGUUUUCUUUGGUGGUUUUUUUCGCUUUUAUUGAUAUAUUUAGUUGUUAUUUUCUCCUUUAUAUUAUUUUCCAUUAUUUUUUGUUUGAGUUUUUCUUGUGUGGUUUAAGUUGUUGAGUGAUGUUUUUUAAUUGGUUCGUUUAUUGUGAGUUUUCUUUGGUGUUUUCUCGUUUUUAUUGAUUUAUUUAGUUGUUAUUUUCUCCUUUAUAUUAUUUUCCAUUAUUUUUUGUUUGAGUUUUUCUUGUGUGGUUUAAGUUGUUUUGUGGUGUUUUUUAAUUGGUUCGUUUAUUGUGAGUUUUCUUUGGUGUUUUCUCGUUUUCAUUUAUUUAUUUUAUUUAUAUUCUCCUUUUUUAUCGUUUUCCAUUACUUUUCGUUUCUUUUACUCUUUUUUUCUCUGCUCUUUGUUUCGGCCUCUUUCUAUUUUUUCCGGUUUUAUUUUUUCUCAUCUUUUUUUCUUGAUUCUACCUUUUGUCUCACCGGCCAGAUUCAACCUCCUUAUCAUCCACUAAUCACAUGCAGACAGGGCUGGAAGAGGGGCGUGCGUGGCGUACUCGCUCACCUGGAUUCGCUAAUGAUGAAUACUUAAUUGACAAGGAGGGAGACAUUUGCUGAUGAUAUUUGCAUAGUAUAUCUGUACCGCGAAUAGUCAGCUCCUUCAUAUGCUUUUUUUUCUUAUAGCAGAGGAGACAGUUCAAGGGCGUAAAAAAAAAGAAAAUAAUGAAAAAAAAAGCCCGCUACUUAUUGCUCCUAAGUCCUACCGCUGCAGAGAAUAUAUAAUCGCCUUCACACGGGCAGUACAUAAAGGAAACUCCGGUGUGUGAAAUAAGGAAGGAUAAGGAAAAGAUAAAUGGAGAAAUAAAAGAGAAGAAAAAAAAUAGAGUAGAGAAAGGAUGGGACAUGGAAGACGAGGAUAAGUGUGGUAUGAGAUGAUAGGUAUUUGUGUAGAUUUUGUUGACUAGUAUUUCUUUAUCUAUCUCUUGUAUUUAUUUAUUUUUGUUUGUUUCAGCCUCUCUGGAGCGAUGUGGAGGUCCUGCCAAGGCUGCCAUAAAAGGCAGCGGCGGCGUCAGGUGGAGUCAAUCAGCACGUCACCCGAUCCGACAGUGAUCAAGGACAGGUGUGCGACGCGGAUGCCACAGACCCCAGCGACCUUUCCCCCCUUCAACGCCCUCACAGCCUCCCUCACCCCCGCAGAAGAGAGGGUGGGGUUGCGUCUAUUGGUGGAUCAGAAGUAAGGGGUCUGUCUGGAUUAGUAAAGGGGCUGUUACAAUGGGCAAAUUUUCCGUGGAUCUAAGACAAACCACGA
Long non-coding RNA from Eriocheir sinensis (Chinese mitten crab), 1444 nucleotides. RefSeq lists it as uncharacterized. The transcript has 3 exons. Lineage: Eukaryota; Metazoa; Arthropoda; Malacostraca; Decapoda; Varunidae. The record is from RefSeq and is a predicted model, not a curated record.